This is a non-coding RNA of Onychomys torridus (southern grasshopper mouse), 381 nucleotides long. The record is from the annotation of a RefSeq genome assembly. NCBI's taxonomy places the organism in Eukaryota, Metazoa, Chordata, Mammalia, Rodentia, Cricetidae.
AUGGAGUUGAGACUGAGUUGGGUUUUCCUUCUUGCUCUUUGCAAAGGUGUCCAGUGUGAGGUGCAGCUGGUGGAGUCUGGGGGAGGCUUAGUGCAGCCUGGACAGUCUGUGAAACUCUCCUGUGAAACCUCUGGACUCCCAUUCAGUGACUACAGGAUGAACUGGAUCCGCCAGGCUCCAGGAAAGGGGCUGGAGUGGGUUGCUGAACUAGGAAACAAAGCUAAUAAUUAUGCAACAAACUAUGCGCAGUCUGUGAAAGGCAGAUUCGCCAUCUCAAGAGAUGAUCCCAAAAGCAGCCUCUACCUGCAAAUGAACAGCUUAACACCUGAAGACUCAGGCAUUUAUUUCUGUACUACAGACACAGUGAGGGACCUUCAUUGA